RNAcentral lists this ribosomal RNA (510 nucleotides) under Drosophila apodasta. Its description in RNAcentral is "partial 16S ribosomal RNA". It matches the Rfam family "Bacterial large subunit ribosomal RNA", at positions 1825 to 2597 of the family's 2925-position model. The record is from RNAcentral. Lineage: Eukaryota; Metazoa; Arthropoda; Insecta; Diptera; Drosophilidae.
GUCUUUUAGAAUUAAAUUUAAAGUCUAACCUGCCCACUGAAAAUUUUAAAUGGCCGCAGUAUUCUAACUGUGCAAAGGUAGCAUAAUCAUUAGUCUUUUAAUUGAAGGCUGGAAUGAAUGGUUGGACGAAAUAUUAACUGUUUCAUUUAAAUUUUUUAUAGAAUUUUAUUUUUUAGUCAAAAAGCUAAAAUUAAUUUAAAAGACGAGAAGACCCUAUAAAUCUUUAUAUUUUGUUUAUUUUAAUUAUAAAGAUUAUUUUUAUUAUAAUAAGUUAAAAUAUUUUAUUGGGGUGAUAUUAAAAUUUAAAAAACUUUUAAUUUUUAAAACCAUUAAUUUAUGAAUAAUUGAUCCAUUAAUAAUGAUUAAAAAUUUAAGUUACUUUAGGGAUAACAGCGUAAUUUUUUUGGAGAGUUCAUAUCGAUAAAAAAGAUUGCGACCUCGAUGUUGGAUUAAGAUAUAAUUUUGGGUGUAGCCGUUCAAAUUUUAAGUCUGUUCGACUUUUAAAUUCUU